AAGUAUGUUUACUCUGAUUUUUACAUUUUAUUCAUUCAUUCAAAACCAUGUUUACUCUAACUUUUACAUUUUAUUCAUUCGUUUACAAAUUUUAUACUAUGAACACACUGAAAACCACUCACAUUUGUCACUUAAAAAAACACAAGCACAGAUUUAACAUGUAGCCCAUUUCUUCAAAAUGUGGUCAAGAAAAGAGUUGGUGCCGUUUGGACUUAGGCAUUUUAACAAGUGUAUUAAAUAAGAAAAUAUACAAAAACACAUAACAUAUAAAUCAAAGUUCACUUUUAUUUUCUUAUAUAUAGAUAUAGAUAUAGAUAUAAUUUAAACAUAAAAAAACAUAAAACAAAAGAAAAAAGAAAAAACGUUCACUUCUAUUUUCAAAUGGGAAUUUUAGUAUUUUAAAACAUUCCAUUGAUCUUCCCAAAAUGUGUAGUCUUGCUUUCCAGACGCAGCUGGCGUACUGAAGUCAGAAUUUGCGUUUGACGUCAUCGUGACAUCGAGAGAUGUUCAGGAUCCUCGGAGAGAAAGAUCCCGCGCGCCCUGGCAGUCUAAUAAACCCAGGCUGCUGCGCUCUGGGGCAGCUGACAUUGACAGCCAUCACCACUGUCUGUACACCAUCGUCGAUCCCUCUUGCGAGGGCAUUGUCGGCUAUCAUCAGUCCGGAUAUAGGCUGAUCAGUUGUCAAGUUUGUGCUGCAAAGGCCAAAACUUUAGCGCUCUUAUUGUAGAAAACAGCUAGCACUUUGUGCAUAGUAAAUGGCAGACCAUCUGUAUGGUCUGAAGUCUGUUUAUUUACUCAAAUAGCACCCCAUUCCUUUAGCUCAUGCUCGGCUUUACAUUUCAUUAAUUCAAUGUCCGCAGUACACACUUAUUCCUUAUUUAACUCCUGCUAUUUGCACUAGUUUUCUUCUGCACUGUUGCUUCCAGUUUUUGUACCUGCUGUGCACACACAUACUUUUUUAUGAAGGUUCUUAUUGUCCCUUAAUUUCUAGUUAAGUUGUUAAAGCUAAACUUUUUCCAACAUGGAUGAAUUAAUCUUGUAUAGUGAUAAGCAAUUAACAAAAAAUAUUUAAAUGGAUUCUAAACAAAAGUGUAAAAUAAUUAGAGGAUAAAUGAAUCGAAUGAACUGUUUUCAGUGUGUUUGUUAUGGAAGGCAAAGCAAUGCCUUCACAUUUGCACUCCUCACCCAAAGAAACUGGGACGUCCUUUACCAUGUUUUGGAAUUCUAAUAUUUCAACUUUUUUUUCCCCAAUAGCAAAAAGAGUAUUCAAAAGUUGAUUAGAAUACAGUUUAUUUUAUUUGUAGAGAUUCUCUUUGUGAAAUCAAAAUAAGAGAAGUCAGAUCAAAUGAACUAAAAUUUAACCAAAUUUGAGUCGGUCAAAAUCAUCUGUACCAUUUUUUUUGUUAUUUUUUGUUUUUUUUACUUGUUAGCCCCUUUUUCUUUCUUAAUGCUAUCAAUGUAAAUAUUUACAGUUGUUCUAUUUUCUUCAAUAAAUUUUUUAUUCAUUAUGUGAUGCAGUUUUUGAGUUAUGUUUUUUUUCUUUUCUCAAGGUUCAAAAUUAGUUGUAAUGAAACUAUUUACUUGAUAUAAUUGAAUUGUUUUUUAUUUUUGAGAGUUUAAGCCAAGAUAAUAAGGUGAGUCAGAGAGAGGAGUUCUAAUGAAAAAAGGUGGGAGACGGCAUAUGCAGGAUAACUUUAAAAAGAGGAGAGU
Molecule: long non-coding RNA, 1710 nt
Organism: Oryzias javanicus (javanese ricefish)
Lineage: Eukaryota; Metazoa; Chordata; Actinopteri; Beloniformes; Adrianichthyidae
Source: Ensembl